GCAGUCUUGAACGUGAUGGACCAGUAGC
Molecule: non-coding RNA, 28 nt
Filed under: Homo sapiens (human)
Lineage: Eukaryota; Metazoa; Chordata; Mammalia; Primates; Hominidae
Source: RNAcentral